Molecule: long non-coding RNA, 480 nt
Organism: Camelina sativa (false flax)
Lineage: Eukaryota; Viridiplantae; Streptophyta; Magnoliopsida; Brassicales; Brassicaceae
Source: RefSeq, a predicted model, not a curated record
UAAAACUAUAUAUAAAAGUAACAUGUUCUUUGUAAAAUUUUAAACAACUCCAAUUCAUUUAUAGUGUCGAAGAUGAAGAAACUUUUUCAAGUCUUCUUGACCGUACUAACUAUCUACAUCCUUCUUGUGCAAGUAAUAGGAGCGUCACCAAAUGACACAACAUAUUCAAAUAAAAAAUUGACAUGCUCGCUCGAAAAAUGUAAUACUAUGUGUACCAAAACGUGGAAAGGAUCAGUCGGUCUUUGCGAGAAAGUAAGCGCAAAAGGAGACAUGAAGUGCUACUGCAUAUAUAAGACCAAUGCCUGAGAAAUAUGUUAUAUAGGAAUAACUGUGGUUAAAUAUAUUAUUAUUUAAAAUAAAACUCAAAUAGUAAUGCAUUAUAAUAAAAAGAUCCAUGCUGAUGCUAGUGUGAGUGUCGUUAACAAAUUAUAAGUGUAACGUCUCCAUCAUUUUUAAAGCCGAAAUCGGACUUCAUAUGUU